Molecule: microRNA precursor, 193 nt
Organism: Oryza sativa Indica Group (long-grained rice)
Lineage: Eukaryota; Viridiplantae; Streptophyta; Magnoliopsida; Poales; Poaceae
Rfam family: MIR812 microRNA precursor family
Source: Rfam
AAAAAGACAAACUCUGACUUUUUCAUGUUCAAUUUUAAUUGUUCAUCUUAUAUAAAAUUUUUUAUAAUUUGUAUUUUCAUUGUUGUUAGAUGAUAAAGCAUGAUUAAUAUUUUACGCAUGACUUGUCUUUUUAUUUUUUUUCAUAAUUUUUUCAAAUAAGACGGACGGUUAAUAGUUGGGCACGAAAACUAAG